UACAGAGGUCCCGAGCGUUGUUCGGAUUCACUGGGCGUAAAGGGUGCGUAGGUGGUGAGGUAAGUCGGAUGUGAAAUCUCCGGGCUCAACCCGGAAAUGGCAUUGGAAACUACCUUGCUGGAGGAUUUGAGGGGGGAUUGGAAUACUUGGUGUAGCAGUGAAAUGCGUAGAUAUCAAGUGGAACACCAGUGGCGAAGGCGAAUCCCUGGAAAAUACCUGACACUGAGGCGCGAAAGCUAGGGGAGCAAACAGG
This 253-nucleotide ribosomal RNA is filed under the name uncultured bacterium. Its description in RNAcentral is "partial 16S ribosomal RNA". It matches the Rfam family "Bacterial small subunit ribosomal RNA", at positions 524 to 776 of the family's 1533-position model. The record is from RNAcentral.